This 445-nucleotide ribosomal RNA is filed under the name uncultured bacterium. RNAcentral's name for it is "bacterial SSU rRNA". It matches the Rfam family "Bacterial small subunit ribosomal RNA", at positions 30 to 518 of the family's 1533-position model. The record is from RNAcentral.
CGAACGCUGGCGGCAGGCCUAACACAUGCAAGUCGAGCGCGCCCUUCGGGGUGAGCGGCGGACGGGUUAGUAACGCGUGGGAACGUACCCUUUGGUAGGGAAUAGCCACUGGAAACGGUGAGUAAUACCCUAUGAGCCCUUCGGGGGAAAGAUUUUAUCGCCAAAGGGAUCGGCCCGCGUUAGAUUAGGUAGUUGGUGGGGUAAUGGCCUACCAAGCCUACGAUCUAUAGCUGGUUUUAGAGGAUGAUCAGCAACACUGGGACUGAGACACGGCCCAGACUCCUACGGGAGGCAGCAGUGGGGAAUCUUGGACAAUGGGGGCAACCCUGAAUCCAGCCAUGCCGCGUGAGUGAAGAAGGCCUUAGGGUCGUAAAGCUCUUUCGCCUGUGAAGAUAAUGACGGUAGCAGGUAAAGAAACCCCGGCUAACUCCGUGCCAGCCGCUGC